UCGUAACAAGGUUUCCGUAGGUGAACCUGCGGAAGGAUCAUUAUCGAGUUUUGAAAAGGGUUGUAGCUGGCCUUCGGCAACAAGUCGGAGGCAUGUGCACGCCUGGCUCAUCCACUCUCAAACCCCUGUGCACCUUUUGUAGGCUUCGGCAGAGAGGACUGACUUCGGUCGGUUCAGGAAGCCUUGUGCCUAUGUCACACAUACAAACGCUUCAGUUUAGAAUGUAACGAAUCGUGCGCCUCGGUGCAACGAAAUAAAUACAACUUUCAGCAACGGAUCUCUUGGCUCUCGCAUCGAUGAAGAACGCAGCGAAAUGCGAUAAGUAAUGUGAAUUGCAGAAUUCAGUGAAUCAUCGAAUCUUUGAACGCACCUUGCGCUCCUUGGUAUUCCGAGGAGCAUGCCUGUUUGAGUGUCAUGAAAUUCUCAACCUUUGAAGCUUUUUUUUGAGCUCGCAAAGGCUUGGACUUGGAGGUCGUGUCGGCUCGUAACAAAGUCGACUCCUCUGAAAUGCAUUAGUGUGAAACCUUCGCAGGAUCGCCUUCGGUGUGAUAAUUGUCUACGCCGUCGGUCGUGAAAGUCGAAACAUACGUGUUCACGCUUCUAAUCGUCCGUCGAGGACAAACUUUUUUCUUGACCAUCUGACCUCAAAUCAGGUAGGACUACCCGCUGAACUUAAGCAUAUCAAUAA
This 688-nucleotide unclassified non-coding RNA is filed under the name Pappia fissilis. RNAcentral describes it as "sequence contains 18S rRNA gene, ITS1, 5.8S rRNA gene, ITS2, 28S rRNA gene". The stretch from base 262 to 415 matches the Rfam family "5.8S ribosomal RNA". Lineage: Eukaryota; Fungi; Basidiomycota; Agaricomycetes; Polyporales; Meruliaceae. The record is from RNAcentral.